RNAcentral lists this ribosomal RNA (253 nucleotides) under uncultured bacterium. RNAcentral describes it as "partial 16S ribosomal RNA". It matches the Rfam family "Bacterial small subunit ribosomal RNA", at positions 524 to 776 of the family's 1533-position model. The record is from RNAcentral.
UACGUAGGGAGCAAGCGUUGUCCGGAAUCAUUGGGCGUAAAGCGCGCGUAGGUGGCCUCAUAAGUCCGUUGUGAAAGUCAAAGGCUCAACCUUUGAAAGCCGAUGGAUACUGUGAGACUAGAGUACGGAAGAGGCGAGUGGAAUUCCUGGUGUAGCGGUGGAAUGCGCAGAUAUCAGGAGGAACACCAAUAGCGAAGGCAGCUCGCUGGGACGUUACUGACACUGAGGCGCGAAAGCUAGGGGAGCAAACAGG